RNAcentral lists this long non-coding RNA (6128 nucleotides) under Oryza sativa (Asian cultivated rice). RNAcentral's name for it is "long non-coding RNA (OSAT_LNC000293)". Lineage: Eukaryota; Viridiplantae; Streptophyta; Magnoliopsida; Poales; Poaceae. The record is from RNAcentral.
CAACCUUGUUUUGUCACCCUCCCUUUCUCUCUUUCUCCAACUCUUCGACGGCGUCGACCCUGUCGCGCCGCCGCGGAGCGGCGGAGGAAGACGAGACGAUGGGCGGCGCAGGCGCGGCGGAAGGCGGCAGGUUUGCCAGGCCGGCGCCGUCUUCUCCAAGGUCAGCGUGCUACUGCUUUUCUGAAUUUUUUGCGUAUGCCUGUGUGUGCUGGAUUUCGUGUAUGGACUUCGAACGCGCGUGGCGUGUUUGUGGAAAUGCCUCUGAAAGUAGUAGCGCGCAGCACGCACUAACGCACUUGGGCGGGCGCAGCUGUGUGCCCGUUUUGCUCUAUGCGCGUUAUUAUGCCUGUUGUGUGGUGUGAGUUGUGCCGCUGACUAACUACCGUGGAAUUGUAACCAUAUCUUGGGUGUGUCGACAGCCUGCUAACAUUGCAUUUGGUGCUGUCCUAAUUCCUAAACACAUAAUAGAUUCAUGAGGUUAUUUAUAUACAGUGGAGAACGCAGAACAAAAUUUUAGGAGGUGCUAGUUUAAAAGACCAAUAUAAGAUUAUCAUUAAAAUACGUAGUACCACUAAGUCAUGAACAUUAUCAAAGCUUUUGUUGUUGAUUUAUACUGUCAUGGGCUGAGCUAAGAAAAGUUAGCAAAAAUGGUUUAAUUGGGUUAGAUCUGUUGAUGACCAAUACUAGCAUCAAUGGCUGCUAAAUCUGUGUUGACAUGUGUCUGCUUGCCUCCCUUGAACGAGUGGCUGCAGCCUAUACGCAAUACUGUACCGUGAAGCCAUGAGAUUGGCUUGUAUUAGUGUGGACUUGGUUCCUGAAUAAGGUAUGGUUUCCAGGGGGCCUGGCGGCAGUAGGUGUGCCUGAGCCCUAUUUGACCCCCUGCUGUGUCUGCCCCUGUUUAUAUAUAGGCUUAGUUAUGGUAAUAGAAGUAGCCUUACACAGUAGUUGCAAAGCAACAUAGCUUUGCACACCACCGGGGAGUUAUUCACACUACUUUUCCUCCACUGGAAAGCUCAAGGAAUGCUUGCUUGAUGGACUGUAGUUCAGUAGAAACUUGUGCCAUCCCUAACCGGUCUUUUGGUGAUGCCAUGGAGCACAUGAGGGCCACCUUAACCAAUGGGAGGACACAACUUUGCAUCAGUUCGGAGUUUCCACCAUCCAAAUCAUUGUGUAGCAUGUUGGGGUCUAAAAUCUCAGUUACUCUGUGGGGAAAUGCAGCAUCCACACGAUCGUGGAGGCUCAAACCAUCAUUGAAUUUUUCAUCAGUUGGACGCUUUCCAGUUAAUAUCUCUAACAACAACACUCCAUAGCUGUAGACAUCACCCUUCGUUGAUAUUUGCCCACCCAUUCCGUACUCUGCAUUUUCAUUUGAAAACAUAAGAAUGGCGAAUGGAGGAAAACUACAAUCCAUGUAACAUUGGAUAAGUUAAUAAGAUGGCUGAAGCAUACAGGUCAAUAAAUCAGUAUAAGUUUCCAAUUUCUCUCACCUGGUGCAAUAUAUCCAAUGGAUCCUUUUAAGUCAGCCAAACUUGUAGAGUUACCAGGCGCUGCUGUUGAAUUAGCACCCAUAAAUCUUGCCAACCCAAAGUCACUGACAUAUGCAGUCAUUUCAAGAUCCAAAAGAACAUUGCUUGGUUUGAUGUCACAAUGUAUUAGUGGGGAUACACACUGGUUGUGAAGAUAAUCUAAAGCGUAUGCAAUGUCCAAGGCUAAGCUAAUCCUUUCACCCAAAGUUAGGAAUCUCUUUUUACCAUGUCCAUGGUCCUCUGGAUGUAGCCACAUUUCCAGACUUCCAUUUGGCAUAUACUGAAAGACAAGUGCUUUAAAAUCAUAGCCAUUUGGAUCAAUCGUAGAGCAUAAAGUAAUGAUUUUGACAAGAUUUCGAUGGCGAAUAUAUCUUAAUGCCUCGCACUCCGCAUUGAAGCUUGUGGGUGCUCCGUACUUGUUAAGAUCGAAAACCUUAAUAGCAACUGGAUUGGUCUCAAACGGCAACAUGCCCUUGUAAACAGCCCCAAAGGAUCCCAAACCAACCAAAUUUGUGGGAGAGAACCCAUCUGUUGCAUUGGCAAUAUCUUCAUAUGAUAUCUUUCUCAUGUUCACACUGGAUUGCUGCAAAGAUGGUUUUUGUUUUCUUCUCUUGAUGAGAACAGCCAUUAAACAUAACAAUAAAAUUACAACAGACACUGCGAUUGGAAUUACUAUUUUCAAAAUAGUAGACUUGUGUUUACUUUGUGAUCCUGAUUCACGGCAAAGGGGCAGGCUAUACCCUGGAUCAUUCACACACAAUCUGUAGUUUCCGUCCAAGAUAGCCCUGCUAGCAUUACCAAAGACACCAUUUGAUGGUAUUGGCCCUUCAAAGUCAUUGAAUGAAAGGUUGAGUUUCUGCAAAGAACUUAAGAGAGUGAGGAACUCUGGAACUUUUCCUGACAAGCUGUUACGAGAGAGAUCCAGCUCCUUGAUGCUUUUUAAGUUCAUGAAAGAUUGUGGAAUGCUUCCAGUAAGAAGGUUCCCUUCCAUGUGAAGGUAUUCCAAAAGCACGCAAUUCCCUAGAGUGGACGGUAUUUCCCCGGUCAAGCGAUUGUUUGAAAUACUGAUGCUUCCAAGAUUUAUGAGGUUGCCAAUUUCUAGUGGUAUGGGCCCAGUAAACAAAUUGUGGGACAAGUCCAAACUUUGUGACAGGGAAGAAAUGUUGAAGACCUCACUUGGCAGGCUUUCACCGAAUGAAUUGUGGGACAAAUCAAGCUUCUCUAAUUGUCUCCACUGCCCUAAGUUUGAAGGUAUGCUCCCAUUGAAGUUGUUCCCAUCUAGAUGAAACUCGGUUAGUUGGGCAAGGUUGCCAAUAGAAUCAGGAAUAAGGCCUGAGAGGUUAUUUUGUGCCAAGCUUAGAACCAGUAAGUUGCUAAGAUUUCCAAUGGUAGGUGGGAUGCUCCCACUAAACAUAUUCUCAUCCAAAUACAGAACACUGAGACUCUUAAGAUUACCAAUCUCUGAUGGAAUUGCCCCAGAAAGUCUGUUUUGCCUGAGCCACAACCAGUUGAGCUGUGAGGGAAGAUUACCGACUGAGCUAGGCAAGGUUCCUUGGAGAAAAUUUGCAUCCAAGGCCAACUUUUUCAGUUGAGUGCAGUUUGCAAGGGAUGAGAGGAAGCUCCAGUCCCCUGCUUCAAGCUGGUUGUAUCCAAGAUCAAGGUCCUGCAAGUUUGGCAAGGAUCCAAAAGAUGGCACUAUACCAGUGAGACCAGCAGCAGCAAGAUAAACCAUUUCUAGCUUGGACAUAUUGCGAAGAGAAGCUGGGAUCGGCCCAUUUAACUGUGUUGUUGAUAGGAUUAAUGCUUCAAGGUUUGGAAGUCUGUUGCCUAUAUCUGGUGGUAGUUGGCCGAUGAGUGAGUUAUUGGCCAUGCUAAGAUAUUUCAAAGAUGAUAUGUUGAAAAUAGCCUGUGGCACAUGACCAGACAAAUUGUUGUAUGUGAGAACUAGCCUCUCUAGGGUUGGGAUCUUACUUAGGCUCUCAGGGAUGCUCCCCACCAAGUUAUUUGCUUUUAAAGAAACAUGAACCAAGGAAGAAAGGUUGCCCAGUGAGGCUGGUAUCCCUCCUGUGAGUUUAUUCUGCUCUAAAGUAAGGUAUUGAAUAGGUGCAGCAAUUGCUGUAACAGGUGGUAUGGAACCAACUAAGUUGUUACGGUCCAGGUAAAUGGUUCUCAAUGUGGAGCUGUUGAAGAGGGCUGGAGGGAUCUCCCCUGUAAGACUAUUUUGUGUGAGCCUAAGCACUUGAAGGGAUGAGCUAUUUGCCAAGAACUCUGGGAUUCCUCCUGUGAGCUGAUUGCCCCCAAGAUUAACAUAUACAAAAGAUGGGCUACUGCCCAACAAUGGUGGUAUGUCACCUCUGAGGGCGUUGCUAGAGAGAUCCAAAGUUUUCAGCUCAGGAAGCGUCCCAAAUCCAGUGGGUAUACUGCCUUCAAGCUUGUUGUUGUAUAGUAUAACUUGCUGGAGGUGAGUGCAUUGGGUUAAGCUUUGUGGUAUCUCACCUUGGAGGGAGUUGUUCGAUAAGCCGAGUACCUUGAGAUUGCUGCAUGAGGACAGCUCAUCUGGAAUACGGCCUUCAAGAGAGUUGAUGCUCAAGUUCAGGUAGCUGAUUUGUCUCAAGCGUCCGAGCUCACUUGGAAUUUUUCCAAGGAACGCGUUUCUUGAUAAGUCAAGGCUUGUGAUGGAGCUCAGAUUGGCAAUGCAAGGUGGUAUUGAACCACUGAGGCCUUUGGAGCUGACGUUGAGCGCCAUGACUCGGAGUUGGGUCUGGGUGUUGUUGCAUGAAACACCCUGCCAGUUGCAGAAGUUCUGGGAAGUGUUGCUCCAUGAGCUUAAGGAUCCGUUUGGAUCAGAGAUUUGAGACUUGAAGCAGAGCAGGGCUUCUCUAUCAGUAUCAGUGUCAUCGCUGAUUGCUAAUGGCAGAGAGCAUGAGAUGAUGAAAACAGCCAAGAGUGGAAUGAAUUUUGGGCAUGGAGCAAACAAGCGGAUCAUCUUGCUGUUCGUGCUGUGGCUUUCUCUUGCUUAUGGCAUUUUAAGUGCAGGCAGGCACACACUUGUCUUAUAUUCGUAUAUUCCAAUGAUUGUGCCUACUUCUUUUUGCCCAAAUGAAAACUGUUUUCUAACUCUGGGAAGGAAGGUAUGAAUCAGCUGCUGCAUUGUUUCUUAGUCAGAACUUUGAGUUGACUUCAUUUUCUCAGGUCAAUCACAUAUUAUGUGCUUGGUUACUUUAUACUGUCGAAUAUUGGUGGAGAUGCCUAAUGUGAUGUCCUCCAUCCAUUAUUGACUGAAGGAUUACAUUAUAUAUAAUUAUAUAUGAUUUUAGAUGGGAUAGUGGUGCCUAACUUCUAUUUCAAAGAUAUCCAACUGUGAAUAUCUGAUGUGUGUGAUCAUUUAGCAUUGUGUUCACAUAUGAUGGUGCCAGUUGAGUUUGGUGGUGAAAAUUGACUGCAAAAUUUGCAUGCUGAUAAAUGAGUUGGACGGGUAGAUGCACAACACUAAAAUAAUAUCUACCAUUGUUGACUAGAAUCCUCUUCUACAUGCUUCUUUCUCACGUAACUGACUUUUCGCAUGCUAUCCAAUAUCCAGUCCACAAGGCGUAUUGGUUCCAUGUAAUUUCUGAAUAUGCCCAUGUAGUGAUCGACCUAUGUGCUAUUUGGCUUUAUUUUGUUUACUGAAUAGCAAGCUAGGGGAAGCUAGAACCAUCAGCUAAAGAUAUGCUAAUUAUCAAAAAUCUAUUGAUUUCCGGUGCCCUAUGUGGUAAGUAGUACAAGGCAUGACUUAACGACUUAUAAUUCACUCAAACUAAAUUAUUGCCAGGCAGCUAUAUGAUUUCUAGUUUUAAAUGCUACAAUUUGAUGUGUUGUAAACAGCAGAUGUGCAAGCCAGACUUCUUAAUUCAUUUGAACAUGCCUCAUUAUCCCAACCAGGAGAUGGAAUCGUAGGUAGUCUUCUUGACUGGUCAAAUAAAGGCAUCACUAUGGUUUGCAUUUGCAUAUGGUCCUAACCAUACAUACAAUAAAUAUUACUGAUAUACUUGUACAUUUAAUUAUUAGCUUGUUAUGUUUCUUUUCAGGAUCUUGGUGCCUGUGGUAGCAAGAGAGGAAGUCCAUCCAUUGGAUGAGAUUUUUGAGACAUCGCCUGUACAUCAACCAAGGAUGGAACUGAUCAACUGUAGAUCCAGCUAAAAAUUGCAUUUUUUUUAACGCAAAGAAAAGAUUGACAAGGUAAUAUUACGUCAAUAAUCACAUUAUCUGUUUUACCCAGAUGGACAGUUGUUGAUGAAUUUAUAUAGGUAGGAAGAUGACAACGUACUUGACUUGCGUGAAUUUUGCAUGGUCACCACCAUGUAUUUUUUUGCUGACAAUGAUGUUCCACUUGCUAGUUACCUUGUGUAAUUAUUGCUGACGUUACUUUUGCAUGGUCACCACCAUGUAUUUUUUAGCUGACAAUGAUGUUCCACUUGUUAGUUAACUUGUGUAAAUUCAAAACUAAUUACGUCAGGUUGGAAUAUUACACAGUAUACUAACGGUUUCAGCCAAAAGAAUGAGACAGAAACAGAGGGUGCCGACUUGACACGGUCUUGUAACUCUUGUUGAACUUUGAUAUAU